RNAcentral lists this ribosomal RNA (465 nucleotides) under uncultured bacterium. Its description in RNAcentral is "partial 16S ribosomal RNA". It matches the Rfam family "Bacterial small subunit ribosomal RNA", at positions 338 to 795 of the family's 1533-position model. The record is from RNAcentral.
CCUACGGGCGGCAGCAGUGGGGAAUAUUGCGCAAUGGGCGAAAGCCUGACGCAGCGACGCCGCGUGAGGGAUGAAGGUCUUCGGAUCGUAAACCUCUGUCAGCGGGGAAGAACGGUCACUGUGCUAAUCAGCAAGGAAUUGACGGUACCUGCAAAGGAAGCACCGGCUAACUCCGUGCCAGCAGCCGCGGUAAUACGGAGGGUGCGAGCGUUAAUCGGAAUUACUGGGCGUAAAGCGCGCGUAGGCGGUCUGUUAAGUCAAGGGUGAAAUCCCCGGGCUCAACGUGGGAACUGCCUUUGAAACUGGCAGACUUGAGUGUGUGAGAGGAUAGUGGAAUUCCAGGUGUAGGGGUGAAAUGCGUAGAGAUCUGGAGGAACAUCAGUGGCGAAGGCGACUAUCUGGACCAUAACUGACGCUGAGGAGCGAAAGCGUGGGUAGCAAACAGGAUUAGAUACCCGAGUAGUC